RNAcentral lists this ribosomal RNA (442 nucleotides) under uncultured soil bacterium. RNAcentral describes it as "bacterial SSU rRNA". It matches the Rfam family "Bacterial small subunit ribosomal RNA", at positions 26 to 518 of the family's 1533-position model. The record is from RNAcentral.
AGAGCGAACGCUGGCGGCAGGCCUAACACAUGCAAGUCGAACGGACUCUUCGGAGUUAGUGGCGGACGGGUGAGUAACACGUGGGAACGUGCCUUUAGGUUCGGAAUAGCUCCUGGAAACGGGUGGUAAUGCCGAAUGUGCCCUUCGGGGGAAAGAUUUAUCGCCUUUAGAGCGGCCCGCGUCUGAUUAGCUAGUUGGUGAGGUAAAGGCUCACCAAGGCUACGAUCAGUAGCUGGUCUGAGAGGAUGACCAGCCACAUUGGGACUGAGACACGGCCCAAACUCCUACGGGAGCAGCAGUGGGAAUCUUGCGCAAUGGGCGAAAGCCUGACGCAGCCAUGCCGCGUGAAUGAUGAAGGUCUUAGGAUUAGUAAAUUCUUUCAGUAGGGACGAUAAUGACGGUACUAGAGAAGAAGCCCGUUAACUUCGUGCCAGCAGCCGAC